Non-coding RNA from Myotis lucifugus (little brown bat), 506 nucleotides. NCBI's taxonomy places the organism in Eukaryota, Metazoa, Chordata, Mammalia, Chiroptera, Vespertilionidae. The record is from the annotation of a RefSeq genome assembly.
UACCCAGGUGUUCCCACUCCCUGAUCAGGACCAAAAAUAGAGCACUCACCAUGGGCUUUGGGCUCAGCUGGAUUUUCCUUGUGGCUCUUUUAAGAGGUGUCCAGUGUGAGGUGCACCUGGUGGAGUCUGGAGGAGGUUUAGUACAGCCUGGAGGGUCUCUGAGACUCUCCUGUGCAGCCUCUGGAUUCAACUUCAGUAGCUACUGGAUGAGCUGGGUCCGCCAGGCUCCAGGGAAAGGGUUUGAGUGGUUGGGUAUAAUUAGUACUGAUGCUGGUACCACAAACUAUGCAGACUCUGUAAAAGGCCGAUUCACCAUCUCCAGAGACAACGCCAAGAAUACGCUGUAUCUGCAAAUGAAGAGCUUGACAGCCAAGGACACGUCCAUGUAUUACUGUGAGCAGCAUAUGUGUGAGCGUCCCGCUUCCCCGUCCAAGGAGGAGCAACCACCCGAGCAGUCCAACCUGUCCGAGGAGCAGCAGCCGCAUGAGCCGUCUUCCUACGUCUGA